AAACAUAGCAACAAUCUUAUUUACAUUCCCUAAACAUAAUACACAAACAUUACAUCCUGGGACGUAACAAUUAGCAGCUGAAUUUUUAGCAGCCAUUACUCCAAUACAAGGCUUUAUGGCUCCAACCCCCCCGGCCCCUGAGGACCCGUGUUCAGCAGUGAAAGCAGGGGCCUCUGGUGUUCGACCAGACCCUGGAAGACCUCUCUACUACAACGAGCCAUAUGUGCCAUCAAGUGGUCAAAACAGAUGCAGGAUUAAACCCCCAACUGAAGUCUGAAGCUGGACUCUUACACUUUUGACAUGUCUAGCCACUUUGCCACAAUGACAUUGUGCCAGAUUAUUGCAUAAAAAUGGAAGGAUUGUAAUUAA
Carassius carassius (crucian carp) is the source of this 369-nucleotide long non-coding RNA. RefSeq lists it as uncharacterized. Lineage: Eukaryota; Metazoa; Chordata; Actinopteri; Cypriniformes; Cyprinidae. The record is from RefSeq and is a predicted model, not a curated record. The transcript is spliced from 3 exons.